RNAcentral lists this ribosomal RNA (484 nucleotides) under uncultured bacterium. RNAcentral's name for it is "partial 16S ribosomal RNA". It matches the Rfam family "Bacterial small subunit ribosomal RNA", at positions 29 to 507 of the family's 1533-position model. The record is from RNAcentral.
AUUGAACGCUGGCGGCAUGCUUUACACAUGCAAGUCGAACGGCAGCGCGGGCUUCGGCCUGGCGGCGAGUGGCGAACGGGUGAGUAAUGCAUCGGAACGUGCCCAGUAGUGGGGGAUAGCCCGGCGAAAGCCGGAUUAAUACCGCAUACGACCUGAGGGUGAAAGCGGGGGACCGAAAGGCCUCGCGCUAUUGGAGCGGCCGAUGUCGGAUUAGCUAGUUGGUGGGGUAAAGGCUUACCAAGGCGACGAUCCGUAGCUGGUCUGAGAGGACGACCAGCCAAACUGGGAAUGAGACACGGCCCAGAAUCCUACGGGGGGCAGCCGUGGGGAAUUUUGGACAAUGGGGGCAACCCUGAUCCAGCCAUGCCGCGUGCGAGAAGAAGGCCUUCGGGUUGUAAACCGCUUUUGUUCGGGAAGAAAUCCUCUGGGCUAAUACCCCGGGGGGAUGACGGUACCGGAAGAAUAAGCACCGGCUAACUACGUG